RNAcentral lists this small RNA (524 nucleotides) under Arabidopsis thaliana (thale cress). RNAcentral's name for it is "ATSL118980". The record is from RNAcentral. Lineage: Eukaryota; Viridiplantae; Streptophyta; Magnoliopsida; Brassicales; Brassicaceae.
UUGAUGUGUUCUGUGUCAUGUGUCCUUUAAUUUAUUAGCAUUUUCGUGAUUGUUUUGUUGAUAGUAUAAGGUAUUUUUUUAAAGCAACACUAACUUAUCGAGAAUUAAGACUAUCUUUAUCAAUGGACUCUUACAUGUAGUUCUAAACAAUUUUGAUAUAUAACAUAAUGUUUAAAUAUUAGAAAGGCUCUUACAAAAGAAGAGAAUAAGAUCAUCUUUGUCAAUGGACUCUUACAUGUAGUUCUAAACAAUUUUGAUAUAUAACAUAAUGUUUAAAUAUUAGAAAGGCUCUUACAAAAGAAGAGAAUAAGGAAAAAAACUCUUAGCUAAGAGCCAUUUUUCAUCUCUUAAGCACACUUUUUUAUUUUUUUUAUUUUUAUUUUGUUUAAUAUAAUAUUUUGAUAGUUCUUAUGAUAUUGUUAACAACCUAUUGAUAAUGAUGCUCUAAGGAAGAAAACUCUUAGCUAAGAGCCAUUUUUCAUCUCUUAAGCACACUUUUUUAUUUUUUUAUUCUUAUUUUGUUU